Molecule: long non-coding RNA, 8737 nt
Organism: Meleagris gallopavo (turkey)
Lineage: Eukaryota; Metazoa; Chordata; Aves; Galliformes; Phasianidae
Source: RefSeq, a predicted model, not a curated record
CGUGUGUAAGCCUCAACAGCUUCUUCGCUUCGAUCCCCAUUUGCCAGGGUUGCUCCAAGACGGUUCCAUAACGUAUAGUCCUGGUGGAAAAGAACUCCAAGUCCUGUCUGCAAGUCAGGGUCUAUCAUGUCACCAUUCUGGUGAGCAGCCUCCAGAAGUGAUAAACUUGAAAAUAAGCUGCUUGAGUUCAAUCCUAGCAGAGAUACGCUUCCCCGUCCUGUUGCAAACUCAUUUCUGAAAUACAGAAGUUUACCUGUGUAAUGAAGUCAAAGUGAAGCUAUGAAUCCAAGCAACGAGCUGGACUUCUAUACAUUAAAGGCACAGCAUGAACCAUCGUUUGCAGUGGUCAUUACAUCUCAGCCAGCAGGAUUUAACUGCAUUUACCUUUCAUCUGAUGUCUUAGACAUCCUCCUGAUCAGCUUAUGAAGCAACUUGUCACCCUUUGCUGCACACUCAAAAUAUCGUGUUCCCAGGAAAGCAUAUGGAAUCCUUAGCAUAAACACUGUUAGGUGCUUGUACAUAUUUACAUGGCAGCAAUGUUUCUGCAGUUAUUAUCCAAUUAAACAGACAGAGCAUGACAGGAGUAAUAAAAUUAAUGUAAUAAUUCUAAGGGAGAAAUUGUUAAUAAACAUUGUCUGUAUCUCAAACACCUCUAAAAUUUCAAGCAUUAAAGGGAUUUUAUUUUUAUGCUUAUUUGAUAUAUCAAUUACUUAGGAUGGUAAAGUGUAAGCCAGAUACCACUGCUGUAGUUUGUAAAUAGUGAUGAAGUUCUGUAAUCAAGAUUAUGCAAAAUAACUUCUGAUCAAAGUGAAUUUCCUUUCUUUUAUCUUUUGCCUUCCCCAAAGUGAAUUCUGAUCAAAACCAAAUGAUCAAAUAACACAAAUUCUGAUCCAAUCCUCUGGCAUCAUAAACAGCUUGAGCUGAAAUAAUUAUGGCCUUUGUGACUUUCCUACGAGCGGAGCCCACAGUGUAAGGGCUGGGUUGAUCAGCAGUGUGGCAUCUGAGGGGUUUGAUUGCUGUGCCACACAGACCAAUUUGGAAGGCAGUUGGGUUUGUACUGUGCUUCCAAUUUAGAAACUGUGCUGGAGAGGAAACUGCAAUUGAGAAACUGCAGUUAGGUGACUGCAUUUGGUUACAUCUUGAAAAUCUUCCUUAAGGGAACUGAGAGAAACACAAAAGGAAAGGGCUUUCCUUUGUUUUCUCUUGUCCUCUGUAAAACAGCCCAAGUACAUCUGAGCUGCUCUGUAUCCAGCUGCUUUUGAUCAAUGGAAACGCUCUGAAGGGAGCUAGCAGCACCCAUCUGCUUCCAACUGUAUCCAGCUGCUUGUGCCCCUGCUGAGCUGCACAGCACUGCUCCCUGCAGUACCUUACCAGUUCUUUUUGUUGUGCAAAGAUUAGUCCUGGAGCUGUAUGUGUCAGCAUAGGUUUAUGAAGACUUUCAGAAGUAUCACUCCUGGUGACUCUCAAAAGGAGCUGUAAGCUAAAGUUGGUCUUAUGUCCGAAGUAGAAACAAAUGUUCCUUUAUGUACUUAGGAUUCUGUUUAGCCUCCUUAGAUAUAACUUGUCUUUGCCCUUAUUGCUUCUUAGGCCUAGCAUAACAUCAUGAUGAGUUUGCAUAAAUACUAAAUAAGCAGCUCAGUGAUGUGUAGUAAAUGAGUGUUUGAGGGAACAAAGUCACAAUUUGAUGGAUUUUCUGGCUUGCAGUGAUAGAUCUGAUGUCACACUCCACGCUGGAGUAGUUAUAUAGUUCUAUUAUUUCAUGCUGCUGGCACCUGGAGAGCCCAGCCCCUUCCAUCAGUAGGGAACAGAGCUUGGCAGGGUAGCUUUGAGAGAAGGGAUGCUCCAGCAAUGUUAAAUUAGAUUGGACCCUUGUACAGCUGACUGCUUGCUUGUUUGUUUUAGAAGAAGGCUGACUUGAUGUUAAGAUUAUCUAUCACAGAAGAGUGAAAUUUAGUCUUGCCAGGAAACCAUCUAAAAUUGGUUGUCCCUUACAAAAUGUUUGAAAAGCAUUUGAUCACAGAAAGGAUGACCUAAUGCAAACAAGUAUGGAGAACAGGCAUCCUUCGUUUACUGGCACAGUUUUUUAUGCAAGUUUUUACAGAGAAAUAUAAUCCAUUUUUAUUGUCAAUUGCAGAUAUGUUUUUGCAAAAAUUCGUCAUCUUAAAUCUCAGAUGUUUAUAUAAUAUCAGUGCUUCCCAGAUAAGACAUGUGCGAGGAUUAAGCUCUGCCUGUAUUCUAGUCUGAAGAAAAAUACCUUAAAUUCUCAGUUGUAAGUCUGCAACAAGCACUAGAUUGCCUGUGAAUUCUUCAGAAAGCAUCAUUUAUUUUUUUGACAAAAGCAAGUGCUGAGAAUAGCUAAGGCAGCAAAACAUACGUAUCAUCCAGAGACAUCAGCAUAGUCUACCUGCCCUUUGCUGACUACUCAUUUUGAGAUAAUUCUGUGUAUUUUUGCAUAGUGUGCAUGCUAUAAUUUCUAUUAAUGAAUCUCCAAUUUGGAGAUUUUAAAGCAAAAUGCCUUCUCUCUCCCCUGGCUAUGACAAGCUUCUUCCUAAGUAAUUAUUACCACAUGGUUAGUGCCGGUUAUGAAAUUAGGAAAAACACUAAUUAGACAAAGCAGGUAAUAGUGCUGAAAAUAUACUGUGUGCAUCUGAAAUGAACUGCUGCAUACUGCUUGACUGUGCACGCACCGAGGGCUGCAGCAGCUUGUCUGUCUCUUGUUGUCUUUGACAUUGCUUGGCUUUCCAGCAGAUGUAUUCUGAACACGCACUCUUGACUUGAAUGAGGAAUCACUGUCACGUUCCUUGGUUUGUAUUACCCCAGAGAUCACACUACGUGGUUGUGGUGCUCUCUUCACAUAACGUGCCAUCCCACUGGAAACAGGGCUUACAAAACCAGCAUGUGCUUCUGCUGAGAGCAGAAUGGUUUGAAGCAGGAGCAAGCAGUGAUUAUUUGGAGGUAAGUUGUUCCUUUCAGGUACAUGCUGCUUGGACUUGAUCUGCAGUGGGAGAAGUUGAGGGUUGCUUAGUACCUGUGGUUACACUUGCACUAAGAAAUUAGAGACACCCAAGUACCAUUGCUUUUCUGGAAGCUAACCAACAUCCAUACUCCCAAGACUUCUGCAACCAGACCGGCACUGGAAAUGCUGGGUGUCCUCUGCCACCUCCUGUAUUGUGUCAGGGAACUGUUUGCAAGAAUGCCAUUAGUGUGAGCCAAAAACAAAGACAAAGACCAUUACAGCAGCCUAGAACACAGAGGAUCCCAGUCCAGUGUCCAGGAAUGUAACCUGCAGGGUGACAGCGUUUAGCUUACUUAGACUUUAUGCUUGGGACAGUUGCCUAUAGGUUGUUAACAGUAUAUGAGGUACUAUUUUUAAAAGAAUACAAAUUUUGUGAAAUGAAACUACAUUUUCUCUGCCCAUAGCUCAGGGUUAUUCCCAAUGCCUGUGGGUUUUUUGUUGUUGUUGUUGUUGUUUGUUUUUUUGUUUUUUUUUAAUUGUGUGAGCAAAAUUGAAAGCAGACAGACAACAAUUUUCAUAAAAAAAUUUUAUACAAUUUUGUUUUUCUGGAGCUUCAGAAGGAGGAGGCAUCAGUGUUAAGAUUUGCAAUAGGGAAUGUAACUUGUUUCAUUAAAAUUGCUGACUGCAAAUUGGUCUGUGUUCCAGUUGUUAGCUAAAAGCAUGAAUUUGUCAGACAAAUUGUUGUUGCUUCAUGGGGGACUGCAGGAGGAGGAAUUUUUUCUGUAGAUCAGCUCCACACACAUAUGGUGUGGGCUUAGUGGAAUUGCAAAUGCCAUGUUUCCUUCAGGCACUGGCUCUUGCGAGAGGGGAGGAACUGAAUGCAGAAGAAAAAGGUGGCAUUGCUGGGUGGGAUUCUGAUAGCUAUUCAUGUAAACCUAAGUUAAGCACUUUGUCUUAACUGCGAAGGUGAGAGGAACAGCCUGCACUGCCCUUAGGGGGAGCCUGCUGAUUUCAAAGGCACCUAGGGAGGUAAUUUAAAUACUGAAAUUUAGGAAUGCAAAUUCUACUUUAAUUUCCAAUCUGCCAUCAUCCCAUGGACAAUAGAAAAGCGACUCCUUUCUAUGCAUUUUACGGCUUACAACGUGGAGAUGAUACUACUGCCCCAGUUUCCAAUGGCAUUCUGGAAACAAGACAGAAUGCCUUGAAUACUAUACUGAUAAAGUCACCGUGUGCAUAAGACUGUGGGCACAGCACUUCUCUGCCACAUCCCGACUGUGGUGGGGCAAUGGAGUCCAGAGCCAGCUCCUUACUUCUGCUGCACAUCCCUUACUCCAGUGAGUAUUUAGGACAGAAUCCUUGGGCUGCUGCUGUCCUCUCACUUGUUUGCCUGCACACAAAUGGGUGUGUACUCAGUGCUUCUGUUUGUCAUUGUCGUGUUGGCUUAUGUGUUGCUGUUGUUUUUGCUAAGACUUUAUGGGGAUGCUGGUAAAAAAUUGAAGAGUUAAAGGCAUCUUUAGAGUGAAAAUACAUCUUCAUAAUGUAUAUACAGGGUGCAUCUUUCUUAUCGUUAUCCAAGAUCCCUAAAAACUUGGGAGUGAUCACAUAUGAUGAAGUUUUAUGGUGAUUUUCUUUUCAGAACCUAGAUUGAGACUUCCCAUAUAUAUUUUUAAAGACAGUCUCAUGCAAAUUAUUUUUUCUUGCAUAUAUGAAUGGAAAAUGAGCAGGUUUUUGUACUGUGCUGUUGGGGGCCUGCAAGUCUACAGGAAAUAAAGUGAUUGAUUCCCUUUGCAGCUUUCUCAAGCUAAUGUCUUCUCCCAACUUUCAUUUUGUCUCUCUUUCACUGCGGCCAGCCAGCAAAAGAUGCUGAAGCUCAAUGAGAUGGAGUAGCUGGGUCAUACUGCAGAAAGUGCUGAUGUGAGCUGCUUCUUAACAGGUUGAGCUGUUUUCCCACACAUCCCUGUGGAUGUGCUGGAAAACAGAUUACUUCUUAGUAUACGCAUAUAUGUUCUUUCUCGACUUCUUUCAUGCUAUGUACAUACAGGAGAAUUUUUAAUGGCACAAGAUUUCCUGUCCUAUGCCUCGAAAAUGAUAACUUGCUGUUUUAUAAUAGUUAACAGUUCCCAGUACUUCAAGACUCGUUUUCCUCUUUCACUUUUAGUCUAAAAACCUAGAAGCACUUGAUAAGCAUCAGUAAAUAUAACUGCUUCAUACAUCUCUGUAAGGUAGGCUGGGUAAUGGCCCUGAAUUAUUUUUCUAAAGAGAGGAACUGAGCCAUAGAGAACCUCAGAAAACAGACUGUAUUUAUAGCCACAGUGAACCAUGUGUGCAGUAAUACUCUUGAGAGUCCUGGUGCUUUUCAAAUAUCUUGGAAUUCUAAUAGAAGACCUUUGGUAUGUACAGGGCUGUACAGGGCUGACAGCACACCAAGAAAUGUAAGUGUAGUGUUCAUUGCUGAUUUGCUAAUUUUGUUGUGUGAAUGGGAAGAUUUCUAGCAUAGCACUAUGGUUCAUAUUCAGGUUAGAAAAAAAUAUUGAAGUCUGUAAAAACAGAGUGAGAAUCUUUAGAAUUCUUUUGCUGAUGGUAUUCUGGUGUUUGCUGUUAGCUUUGCAUUAAUGCCACAUCUCCUUGAAUUUUUUUUCAUGAUUUUAUAUUUAUAAAUAUGUAUAGAACAAAAAUCCCAACUUUUGUUUUGCCAGAAGUCACAAUUUUAGCCUUAGUGAGUGGUCAUAAUGAGGAUGCAGUUAUUGAUUUUCUGGGGACAAGACUGUUCUUAUUAUGGAGAGGUUAAAGUUCUACCAAUUUUCAUGGUAUCACUAAAUAUUUUCUCAUUAUAAGUCUGGUAGGAAGUCAGAAUGGAAAUUGCUUUGUGUUCUCUUUCUGUGACCUUUCAAAUGACUUUCUGACCCUUCAUUUUUUCUGCCUGAGGUAACAGCUACACAAACUAUCUGCAUAAGAAGUCCAUUUUUUCCCCGUAUCUUGUAUACAUAAAUGAUCUAAAACUUGCAUGGAAAUCAGACUGUAGUUGAUUUGUAUAGUCUAGUCUUAAAUCUACCCUUUGAGAAUUGAAGUUACAUGGUAAAAUCAGCACUUUCAAGUAAAUAGAGCUACAGAGCUGAAUCUGUUCAGAAGUAUGCUGUUUGAAAAAAGUCUCUCAUAAUCCUACACAAAUCGCUUUACAUUCCCCAAGGCUCCCAUUAUCCUCUCAUUUUGGCCAUACUUUUACAGGAAAACUUUUAUUUUUAAAUACAUUUCACAUUUUAGGUUAAGUGAGAAAUCAUCUAAGAGGCUGGUACUUCAAUUUGCUGUAACGAUAAAGUGUAUAAAGCUUUAUUUUAAGAAGCUGCAGAACAGCUUGGCCUCUUGUGCCUUAUCCACUCAUAGACAGGGCUCUGAUGUGCAGAUCGAUGCUCAGCACCAGAAAGUUCCCCCAAAGAGAACCAGCAGAGAGUUUACUGCUAAAUGUUUUUAAAACUGGUAGCCUUUUUUUGGCACCCGGCCAUGGUAUUUUUGUAGGGGUUAGGUAAUAAAAAAUGAAGAAUUUACAAUUUCAAGAGUCAGUAGGUUCUGUCUCAUGGUUGAAUGUUCAGACCAUUUUCCUGGAGCCGUUGGAAGUCUGUUGUUUUACAGUAUUGCCACUGCUUGAUGUAUUGGUUAAGUUUAGGCACUGAAUUAUCUUCAGCUUAUAGCUUCACGCAGAAGGCACUUUAAAUUCUACUUUUUGUGGGAGGUGAGGGACUGAAGGGGGACUAAAUGUAAUUAAAAGUGUGUAUAAUUGCUCAGUAAAAUGAUCUCCUUUUUCUGAAAUACAACUGCAGCUUGCUAACACAUAUGAAGUCAGUGUUAAUUGAGUUAUAUUGGGUAGCAUGGCACAAUCCAACAAGUCUGACAUACGGGGGAAUUGCGAGCACCUCAGAUGCUAUCUGUGCUAUUAACGUAUCACAUUUAGUUACUGAGGAAACUCUUCAGUAUCUUUCAACUCGAAUAUUUCAACUCGAUCUGCUGAACUGCCAAAAUGUAAUCUAAAUAAUACUGACAUGAUAUUCAUGAGAUAGGCCUUAGUUAAACAAGAUUCCUAGCAUGCUGUAGUUACUGAUAGAGCUUUUAAUUAUUAUUCUUUUAGCAACUACUUCCAACAGUUUUAAUGUAAUUUAACCCCUAAUUGUAAUAAAGUAAGCUAAGAAAAGAAAGAGAUGCCUUUCCCCACGAUUUUUCACCUAACAGCUUCUUGGCACUGUUCUCUAUAUGGCACCACUGCCAGGGAACUGCUUGCCAUAACCUACAGAUGGAGUUGCCAACCUUCAAUGACCACAGGGUAAGACAAAGCCCCAAACACAGAUCCAGCUCCAUGUCCAGGGCACUGCUGGCCAGGUUUUCCUUGCUGAUGCUCCCAGCUGAGGAUGUGUGGAUUUGUACAAACCCAGCACAGUAGCAUGAUAUGUCUUGAUUAAGGCUUAUUUGAAUAGCUUUGUUCUGAGUAAAUAAAGCUGCAAGGGUAAGGUACAGGCACAUAAUCCUGUCAGUGAAUUAUGAAGCAUCAACUUCUUUGCUACUGGAUAAAUAAAGUACUAGGGAGAGAAAAAAUAUUUCAUAAAAAUGUUAGAAAUUCAAGAUAAGGAGCUGUUCUAGCUAAGUAAGUCUGACAGCAUCCAGGUAGAGAUUCACUGCCCUCCCUCAGGUCUACUGAGACUGUGCUAAAUAAAAAAGUAGGCAUUGCUUCAUAAACAAGUUGAUUCAGCUACUGAGUCCCUAUAGUGUGAUUUGUUGACUUUUACUUGUCUUCAAUCCUAAUCCAGCAUUAAAAAAUAUGAUACGUGUAUUUAGCUUUGAAUUAACGAUCUUGAGUAGUUUCUGUAAAACAAAUUAACUAUCAUAAAGUGCAAAAUAUAUAAGUUUCUAUAACUUAGUGUUUCCUGACUCACUAGUUCAGGUCAAUGUCCAAAUGCUCAGUAAUGUAUCUCACAGAUAAGGUCACCAUGUUUCUGUUCCAUUUUUACACAGUACAAAUCAGUACACUCAAUUUCUGUAUUUGUUACAUAGAAAUUACUACCGUACAUCUUUGGAAAAAGGGAAUUAAUAUAAUAAAUUAACAUAUUCAUGAAAUAGGCAGGACAGAAAUGCGUCCUGUGAAUGUAAUUGCAAAGUGUGGAGUAGUUUGGUAGUAUUGACUUGCUUGCCAUAAAUAAUAAGCAUUUUGAGGUGGUGGCAUUGUAUAUUGUGUUUUUUGUUUCCACUGAACGUGGAAAUAAAAGGUUGUUAGUAGAAUAAGACACUUGCUGUUCUAAUCUGUGUUUUUUGUAAUAUUUAUGAGAAACAAUACCAUUUUUUCUUUUCAGCUUUCCCUUAGUCUUGACUUUUAGUAUUCCUUCAGUGAAAGGACUGUCUCCAACAGUAGUGUGUUUAGUGCUCUUUAACUAUUGACUAACCUUCCCAAAUUGGGACAUAUGCUAACCUAUUUCUUUUAAUGAGAGAAGUUUGGACUCUUAUUUUUUUUCCUUCAUUCUGAGUGUGGGCAGAAAUGGUUCUUACAUUUCUUUUUCCAUCUGGUGAAUAACUUUAGUUCCUUUCCAUGGAGAAGAAAAGAGGAAUUAUUUAUCUGUAAUCAUGUCCAGGUUUUUCUUGGAGGGGAAUUAUUUAAGUCCUAGAGACUGUCACUGCCUGUUUUGUUAAUUAAACUACAAGAACUUAUUACAGGGAAUUUUUUGAUAAAAUUCUAAAACAUGCAUGACUAAACUGCAUAGGAGGAGGCAGACUAUAUUCUUUGGUUACUAUAAUGUACAGAAG